RNAcentral lists this long non-coding RNA (444 nucleotides) under Homo sapiens (human). RNAcentral describes it as "long non-coding RNA NONHSAT220745.1". Lineage: Eukaryota; Metazoa; Chordata; Mammalia; Primates; Hominidae. The record is from RNAcentral.
UCUAUCGCUGUCUCUCUCUCUCCCUCUGGUUCUAUUUCUCCAUCCCUCUCUCCCUUGCUCUCCUUCUGCAGCAGGAGGAGCUGCAGACAGAACCCCUCAGACACCGAGUUGUAGAAGGAAGGGCUUUAUUCAGCUGGGAGCAUCCGCAGACUCACGUCUCCAAAAACCAAGCUCUCCGAGUGAGCAAUUCCUGUCCCUCUUAAGGGCUUACAACUCUAAGGGGGUCCGCGUGAGAGGGUCUUGAUGGAUUGAGGAAGCAGAGGGUACGUGACUGGGGGCUGCAUGCACAGACAACGAGAGCGAAACCACAGAGAAAAGAAACAUCCCGUGCAUCACGGCCUGAUGAUGGAUUCCUGUUUCCUGCAAAAUGGGGAGUCUCCAAUAUAGCCUGUUUGAAAACUGGAAAGGAGAGCACCGACACGAUGCUGGUCUUCCACGCAUUCC